AUAAAAAUGUUUAGAAAUCGAGUAAUUUAAAUAUUUAUUUUCAAGAGAGUUAGUGUUUGGUGUAAACUAAUAUUAAAUUUUAAAUGAAAAACAGUUUCUAUUGUUGCCUAAAGAAAUUAUUUAUUAAAAGUAGAAUAGGCCGGUUAAAACCGUUAUAUUAUAAGAGUUAAAAUAAGGUGGUACCGCGAAAUGUUUCGUCCUUUGG
RNAcentral lists this non-coding RNA (205 nucleotides) under Mycoplasma sp. Its description in RNAcentral is "T-box sequence". It matches the Rfam family "T-box leader". Rfam says of the family: Uncharged tRNA acts as the effector for transcription antitermination of genes in the T-box leader family. T-boxes are found upstream of many aminoacyl-tRNA synthetase genes and some amino acid biosynthetic genes usually in Gram-positive bacteria. Lineage: Bacteria; Bacillati; Mycoplasmatota; Mollicutes; Mycoplasmatales; Mycoplasmataceae. The record is from RNAcentral.